Molecule: long non-coding RNA, 2962 nt
Filed under: Nilaparvata lugens (brown planthopper)
Lineage: Eukaryota; Metazoa; Arthropoda; Insecta; Hemiptera; Delphacidae
Description: uncharacterized LOC120351160
Source: RNAcentral
ACUCAAACGCUUCAACAAUAUUUGUCUCUGAAAACAGUCCUGAAAGUUUCUUGAAGUUAAAGUUAUUAUAUCCACAAGAUAGCUGCAUUAUUGGUAAACAUCUAGGAUCUUAGAAAGCUGUUGUUUUUUAUUUUUAAUGUUUCUAUGUAUAAGAAAUAAGAAGUUUCAUCACAACCCAUAAAGUAGUUUUUCGGAAAUUGUGAUAAGUAGUAAUUUCCAGAAUUCAACAAUCAAGUUAUUAAUUACAUACUGAGUCAAUUAAUCUACCCAGUAGAUCUAUAUAUUAAUCAGAGAGCACUUAAAUACCUUCAAUUACAUUGUAGUCGCUUGAUUCAAUUAACGGAAAUCGAAAUAUUGAAUGUCAAAGAAUAUUAACUUACUGUAUUGUCUCUUAUGAUAAAUUGGAGACUAUUUGAAAGAAAAAUAGACGAUAUCUCUCCAGUCUUUGAAAUGAAAUUCACCUCGAAAGUGGAGAUAUUUCGUAUUUAUUUCCAUUUACAAUAAUAACAGAAUUUACUUUGCACCCAACCACAGCCCUACCACCAGUGACUGGUGGGUUUUUUUAUACUCUUUGCAUUUUGGUUCUGUUAACUACUAGAAGAUCGAUAUCCAAAGGUUCUGAUUGAGACUAUGAUUCGAAAAUUGGUUUUCAUGGUUGAGUAUUGGAAUAGAUUAGAGAUAUCAAAUUGAAUUCUAUAAAAGAAACUCAGGAACCAAUUCAAGGAAAGUUGUGAGAACAGCAAAUGUUAUGCCAACGAUACUCCCCUGUACAGGAGUCAAUUCAAUCAUUGGAAUUACUACAUUUUUGAGAAUCAUAGUGAUUCUAGAUUAAUCUGUGGUUCUUCAAGGCUUGGAAUGAGCUUGUAAAAUAUAAUUAUCACACAAGAGACAAUACAACAUGAUUUUUCAUACACAACAUGAAGGAGAAAGAGAAAAUAGCUCACGCCUCACUCACUUCAUUCAGGUGCUUAGUUUUUUGCAUAAAUACAAGCGAAAUUAUAUUGCCAAGAUCAUUUCGUAGCCGGAGUUGAGAAUCCUUUUAAAUGGGGAUGAAUGGCAAUUUAGUUUUUUUAUCUCUUUUCUAAUUUGAACCAUAUAGAUUAAUUUUGAGGUCUCACAGCAUUUUACAAGUCUUCUUUAGUUUUAGCAUUUUGCACUUUCUCUGAUAUCGUAUCAAUCUUAUUCCGGUCGCGUAUUAAUGGGGAGGAUAUUAUUUUAUGAUUAUACUUUUCCGACAGUUGCAUAACUUGGCAAACAGAUAAUGUAUUCAAGAGUUUCAAGUCUCGUUUAAUCUGGUAGAUUUCAUAAGGACGGCAAAAAAUCAAACGUCCAAAAAUCUAUGUGUGUAACUGACUUAACUAUCACUGGCUUCACGAAGCUCAAGAAAAUAGUUUUCUUAUUAUAAUAUGAAAUUAUCAGAUUGUAGGUAUGGAGGUUUGAUAUUAGAAUUCCGGUACAGAAAGUUUUUCAGUAGUAGAAUCGCUUAUUUCUCAGGAAUACUUACUUCUACCAGAAUCGGUGUUUAUUAUUCGAUCAGAUCAGAGCAUGAUCACAACAAUAACAUUUCUUUCUUAAUUAUAAUUUUAUUUUGUGGCUUGAAGUUGAGUGCAAAUAGUUUUUAGUUACACCAUAUCGAGACAAAGGUGUAAGUUGGUGUACUGCACGCGCAGUAAGAAAGGAACAUUCUUGCCAAAUCUCAGAAUUCUAUCAACGCGUUUGUUUGGCCGUAAAUGCAUUACAUACAGACAGACGAAAGAAAAUCCGAGUUAUCAUAGAACUCACUGCGUUCGGCCAAUUAUCGUUAUUCAAAAAUUGCAUUCAAUCUUUAUUCUCAUUAAUUAAUUCUUCAUAUCUUGUAAAAUUCGUUCAAUAAUAAGAAAUAUUGCCAUUCAAUCUAAAUUAGUGUAUAAGCCAGCAGUGUAUUAUAUUGUAACAUAACAUAGGCCUGCAUGAAUAAAGAACUCUAAUCUAAUCUAAUCUAAUCCGUAAUCCCUACGCUGUAUGUUCUCUUUUCAACUGCAAAUGUCUUUAUUGAAUUCUUCAAUGUUGUUUUCCAUCACGAACUGCUUAUUAUUAAAUCUCUUUUUGCUUUUAGAAAAAACGACUAGCAGUCAGAUAUUUUUACAAUAAAUGAAUAAAUCACUCACUGGACAACGAGAUCUUUCGGCAGUUCCGCCAUCUUCUUGGUUGUCUUCUAUUGCUAUACUUUUUAGUACCGUACGGUAUAUUGUUUGAGUCUCUCCCCCUCCUACAAGCUCCUACUUUUGUAAUAGUAUGUAGGCCUAACUUUCACCAUUGUCCACGGCCGUGCUCUCUCUCUCGAAACUCACUCCUUCCUUGUCGAAGUAUUUUCGCGCCUUUUUGAGUUGUGUUUGCCUUUUCGCUAUAUAGUUAUUGGACUUGAUCUUCUUGUCUAAUGCAGUCGCAAGGGUUAGUUUCAGUUCAUCACGUAUUGAAUACAGAGUACAUUUCCUGUUUCCAGUGUUUUAUCCAGGCAUUUAUUUGUUUUGAAGUCACGUGAUCUUCUAUCAUCAAUGAGACGUAUGUCGCGUCAUGCGCCGAUAAAGCUUCGGAAGGGCGCACAAUCACAAGUAUCAUGGGGAAGCUGGUGACCCUUCCUUACCAUCCAAAGCAAGGACGACCAUAAGAGAGAGAAAAACCUUUCAAGGACCUUCUGAUAACUGAAGUUAUGAUUGCAGCUGCUACAAACCGGUGCUGGCCGAAGGCAGAAUUGAAGCAGGUCUAGUUGAAAGCGGCUUCGUGGCUUGCACAAGCCCAAUCCAAGUUGGACAAAAUGAAUCAGCCAUCAACACCAGCUACAAUAACAAUAAUCGACAUCGAUUGUGAAGAUGAACCUCUCGAAUAGAUAAUAAUAUAAUAGUAGUGACAGAAAAGAUCAUAAAACGUGUCUACAUGUUCAAUUUACUGAUAUCAUAAACAAUAAAUUAGUAAUUGAUUAUAA